Molecule: non-coding RNA, 906 nt
Organism: Triticum urartu
Lineage: Eukaryota; Viridiplantae; Streptophyta; Magnoliopsida; Poales; Poaceae
Source: RefSeq, a predicted model, not a curated record
CGUCAGGUAUUGCAUUGCGAUUUGGAUAAUUCAAUGUAGCGUCAGGUCGAGGGGCCAUGUGGGACAGAUUAAUCCAGAUAUACAACUGUAUACGCACCUGCCUUGCGGGUCCCUGGUUACACGGACGUUUGCACGCCAUGGACGGAACGAGGCAGAGCCGUGGCUCGACAUGUCGCCGGCGUCCUGAUCCGUGGAUCAGAUCCGGCGCUGGCCGGUAACGGCGGUAGUGACCGGAGUUAAUGCGCUAGAGGGGUUGGUCGUUGGCAGCAUCUACCUCCUACCUCCAGACCUCGCUUCCUCCAUUGCCGAGAGCGGCGACCCCGUGGAGAAAUCUGGUGCAACAAGGCGACGACCCGCUGAGGGAAGCAUGGAAUUCUUGAUGCAGCAGGACUUUGCUAGAAGAGGUGAACGGGAACAACCUGAUCAUGGAGAGGCACCGUGAGGACGCCGCCGGUCGUAGAGCUGCCGGCCAGGACGGUGUCGAGUGCUGAUGGCCAGAUUUGUGCCGAGGGCGCUGAUCCAGGGGCAGGCAGUGCAGACAAACCUCAAGCUUCAGAGCACUCCAUCCAGCAAGUUGACCAAAAAACAUCUGGAUGGACGCAAAGGUACGAAGAUUAGUGGUGGGAACUAGGUUUGUCUGUCAUUAAGCAUUGUGCUGACCACGCAGGAUAUAUUGACAGUAAAUCAUAUAUACUGUAGUAAAAAUCUGAAUAUGUUGUUGGUACGAAUUAACUGAAAAGUUAUAUGUGGCAUCAUUAGGAGACAUACUGUUAUAGAUACUAGUGUCUAAACAACAAAGUGUAUAUCCACUUGGGUAAAGAUAACUAAGUCUGCACAAUAUGUAUUUACAAAAUUACUAGUGAAUGUAGUUUCACGGCGUACUGAACUAUACGAAUGAACUGAAAA